CGGAGGAUCCAAGCGUUAUCCGGAAUCAUUGGGUUUAAAGGGUCCGUAGGCGGUUUAGUAAGUCAGUGGUGAAAGCCCAUCGCUCAACGGUGGAACGGCCAUUGAUACUGCUAGACUUGAAUUAUUAGGAAGUAACUAGAAUAUGUAGUGUAGCGGUGAAAUGCUUAGAGAUUACAUGGAAUACCAAUUGCGAAGGCAGGUUACUACUAAUGGAUUGACGCUGAUGGACGAAAGCGUGGGUAGCGAACAGGAUUAGAUACCCUGGUAGUCCACGCCGUAAACGAUGGAUACUAGCUGUUGGGAGCAAUUUCAGUGGCUAAGCGAAAGUGAUAAGUAUCCCACCUGGGGAGUACGGGCGCAAGCCUG
Molecule: ribosomal RNA, 366 nt
Filed under: uncultured organism
Description: bacterial SSU rRNA
Rfam family: Bacterial small subunit ribosomal RNA
Source: RNAcentral